GUCGAACGGCAGCACGGGAGCAAUCCUGGUGGCGAGUGGCGAACGGGUGAGUAAUAUAUCGGAACGUGCCCAGUCGUGGGGGAUAACGUAGCGAAAGCUACGCUAAUACCGCAUACGAUCUACGGAUGAAAGCGGGGGAUCGCAAGACCUCGCGCGAUUGGAGCGGCCGAUAUCAGAUUAGCUAGUUGGUGGGGUAAAAGCCCACCAAGGCGACGAUCUGUAGCUGGUCUGAGAGGACGACCAGCCACACUGGAACUGAGACACGGUCCAGACUCCUACGGGAGGCAGCAGUGGGGAAUUUUGGACAAUGGGCGAAAGCCUGGUCCAGCAAUGCCGCGUGCAGGACGAAGGCCUUCGGGUUGUAAACUGCUUUUGUACGGAACGAAACGGUCUCUUCUAAUACAGGGGGCUAAUGACGGUACCGUAAGAAUAAGCACCGGCUAACUACGUGCCAGCAGCCGCGGUAAUACGUAGGGUGCAAGCGUUAAUCGGAAUUACUGGGCGUAAAGCGUGCGCAGGCGGUUAUAUAAGACAGAUGUGAAAUCCCCGGGCUCAACCUGGGACCUGCAUUUGUGACUGUAUAGCUAGAGUACGGUAGAGGGGGAUGGAAUUCCGCGUGUAGCAGUGAAAUGCGUAGAUAUGCGGAGGAACACCGAUGGCGAAGGCAAUCCCCUGGACCUGUACUGACGCUCAUGCACGA
Molecule: ribosomal RNA, 700 nt
Filed under: uncultured Rhodoferax sp.
Lineage: Bacteria; Pseudomonadati; Pseudomonadota; Betaproteobacteria; Burkholderiales; Comamonadaceae
Description: bacterial SSU rRNA
Rfam family: Bacterial small subunit ribosomal RNA
Source: RNAcentral